Molecule: ribosomal RNA, 465 nt
Filed under: uncultured bacterium
Lineage: Bacteria
Description: partial 16S ribosomal RNA
Rfam family: Bacterial small subunit ribosomal RNA
Source: RNAcentral
CCUACGGGAGGCUGCAGUGGGGAAUCUUGGACAAUGGGCGCAAGCCUGAUCCAGCUAUUCCGCGUGUGGGAAGACGGCCUUCGGGUUGUAAACCACUUUUGUAGAGAACGAAAAGUCUGUUGAUAAUACCGAUAGAUGAUGACGGUACUCUAAGAAUAAGCACCGGCUAACUACGUGCCAGCAGCCGCGGUAAUACGUAGGGUGCGAGCGUUAAUCGGAAUUACUGGGCGUAAAGGGUGUGCAGGCGGGUUUGCAAGAUGGAUGUGAAAGCCCCGGGCUUAACCUGGGAAAGCCACACAUGACUGCAAGACUAGAGUGCGUCAGAGGGGGGUGGAAUUCCAAGUGUAGCAGUGAAAUGCGUAGAUAUUUGGAAGAACACCGAUGGCGAAGGCAGCCCCCUGGGACGCAACUGACGCUCAUACACGAAAGCGUGGGGAGCAAACAGGAUUAGAUACCCUAGUAGUC